UAUCUCUUGAAAUGGCUGACCUAUCAACUUUCGAUGGUAAGAUCAAAGCUUACCAUGGUUGUAACGGGUAACGGGGAAUCAGUGUUCGAUUCCGGAGAGGGAGCCUGAGAAACGGCUACCACAUCUACGGAAGGCAGCAGGCGCGCAAAUUACCCAAUACCGGCUCGGUGAGGUAGUGACAAUAAAUAACAAUAUGGGCCCUAGUGGUUUCAUAAUUGCAAUGAGAACAAUUUAAAUACAUUAUCAAGUAUCAAUUGGAGGGCAAGUCUGGUGCCAGCAGCCGCGGUAAUUCCAGCUCCAAUAGCGUAUAUUAAAGUUGUUGCAGUUAAAAAGCUCGUAGUUGAAAUUGAGGAAAAAGAUAGUUUGAAGAUCUUUGAUUGAAAACUAUUUUGUCCUUCUGCGUCGUGUAUACGUUUUGAGUUCUUUAUUGAAUUUGAUUUGUAACCGACAAGUUUACUUUGAAAAAAUUAGAGUGCUUAAAGCAAGCUUAUGCUUGUAUAUUGUUGCAUGGAAUAAUAAAAUAGGACUUCGGUUUUAUUUUGUUGGUUUUCGAAACUGAAGUAAUGAUUAAAAGAGACUGCCGGGGGCAUAUGUACGCUGGUGCUAGAGGUGAAAUUCUUAGACCAUCAGCAGACAAACUACUGCGAAAGCAUUUGCCAAGAAUGUUUUCAUUAAUCAAGAACGAAAGUCAGAGGAUCGAAGACGAUCAGAUACCGUCCUAGUUCUGACCAUAAACUAUGCCAACUGACAGUUAGCUCAGGAAAUUUUUAUGUCCUUGCUAGAAGUCACCGGGAAACCUAAGUCUAUGGGUUCCGGGGGAAGUAUGGUUGCAAAGCUGAAACUUAAAGGAAUUGACGGAAGGGCACCACCAGGAGUGGAGCCUGCGGCUUA
This 891-nucleotide ribosomal RNA is filed under the name Diversibipalium mayottensis. Its description in RNAcentral is "SSU rRNA". It matches the Rfam family "Eukaryotic small subunit ribosomal RNA", at positions 292 to 1192 of the family's 1831-position model. The record is from RNAcentral. Lineage: Eukaryota; Metazoa; Platyhelminthes; Tricladida; Geoplanidae.